Molecule: ribosomal RNA, 483 nt
Filed under: uncultured bacterium
Lineage: Bacteria
Description: bacterial SSU rRNA
Rfam family: Bacterial small subunit ribosomal RNA
Source: RNAcentral
AUUGAACGCUGGCGGCAUGCCUUACACAUGCAAGUCGAACGGCAGCACGGGAGCAAUCCUGGUGGCGAGUGGCGAACGGGUGAGUAAUAUAUCGGAACGUGCCCAGUCGUGGGGGAUAACGUAGCGAAAGCUACGCUAAUACCGCAUACGAUCUACGGAUGAAAGCGGGGGAUCGCAAGACCUCGCGCGAUUGGAGCGGCCGAUAUCAGAUUAGGUAGUUGGUGAGGUAAAGGCUCACCAAGCCGACGAUCUGUAGCUGGUCUGAGAGGACGACCAGCCACACUGGGACUGAGACACGGCCCAGACUCCUACGGGAGGCAGCAGUGGGAAUUUUGGACAAUGGGCGCAAGCCUGAUCCAGCAAUGCCGCGUGCAGGAUGAAGGCCUUCGGGUUGUAAACUGCUUUUGUACGGAACGAAACGGUGAGCUCUAAUACAGUUUGCUAAUGACGGUACCGUAAGAAUAAGCACCGGCUAACUACGUG